Long non-coding RNA from Prunus persica (peach), 497 nucleotides. RefSeq lists it as uncharacterized. The record is from RefSeq and is a predicted model, not a curated record. The transcript has 4 exons. Lineage: Eukaryota; Viridiplantae; Streptophyta; Magnoliopsida; Rosales; Rosaceae.
UCUUUUUCUAGGAAUUCAUUUUUACUUUCGCAAUGAUGACGACGACUUCCUGAGAAUUACUAGCAUCGUUUGGGUUUAGGGCUUUUCGAUGGCAAAGGAGAACGAAGCGGCUUCGCAAGCCACCGUCAAUGGAGACGAUACACUCACGAAAUCUCUACGAUGUCGUCCAUAGGGAUCGGAAGAGGAUGUGUUUUUGCUUAGGGAAACACAUCGAGAAUGUACGAGAUCUCGAUGGUGCCGUCCGAGGGUUCCUCAUUCUCGGCGUGAUGAUAGACUUGUGUUAAUAAGGGAGCUUACUCAACCACUAUGGAGAAUUUCUUGGACUGGAUUCCAAAAGAGUUCCUAAUAAUCAUGCAGCCAGUCAGUUUGUAGAGGCUUUGGCUAAAGCGUGGACGGAAUACACUAACCCAAGGGCUGUAGUCACGUUCAUGGUUCAGGCUGAUGAACGCAACAUGUAUGACCAACACUGGCAUUCUGCUCCAUUGAAAGAAAUAUAU